AUUUCGUCCAAAUCUUUUACCACACUCAGAACAGACAAAUGGUUUUUGUCCUGUAUGAAUUAUCAUGUGUGUGUUCAGAGUGCUCUUAUGUCUAAAUCUCUGACCACACUUAGAACAGACAAAUGAUUUUUGCCCUGUAUGAAUGAUCAUAUGCCUGUUCAGGUGGCUCUUUUGUCCAAAUCUUUGACCACACUUAGUACAGACAAAUGGUUUUUCUCCAGUAUGAAUUAUCAAGUGUGUGUUCAGAGUGCUCUUUUGUCCAUAGCUUUGACCACACUUAGAACAGACAAAUGGUUUUUGUCCUGUAUGAAUUAUCAUGUGUGUGUUCAGGCUGCUCUUAUGUCCAAAUCUUUGGCCACACUCAGAACAGACAAAUGCUUUUUGCCCUGUAUGAAUUAUCAUGUGUCUGUUCAGGUGGCUCUUUUGUCCAAAUCUUUGACCACACUUAGAACAGACAAAUGCUUUUUGCCCUGUAUGAA
Thalassophryne amazonica is the source of this 479-nucleotide long non-coding RNA. RefSeq lists it as uncharacterized. The transcript has 2 exons. The record is from RefSeq and is a predicted model, not a curated record. Lineage: Eukaryota; Metazoa; Chordata; Actinopteri; Batrachoidiformes; Batrachoididae.